AAUAAUAAUUCUAUAAAAUAAAAAAAAUAGUAAAAAAAUAUUUUAUUAAAGUAGUUAGAGCUAUAAUAGUUAUAGCUAAAGUAUUUAUAGUUAAAAUGAUUGAAUCAAGCUUAAAAACUUUGUAGAUAAAAACACGAAUCAUCCAUAAAUAUAUGAAGAUUAUAUUAAUUUUUUUACAAUCAUUUAUAUAUAUAAAUUUUACAUUAUAACAAUGGCUAAAAGUAGAAGCAAAGAGAUUUUUGAUAGGCAGAUAGCUAUAGAAUUUCAAUUUGGUACUAUCCAACAAAACCAAUGGAUUGAGAAGAAAAAAGAGUUAUUGGAUAGAAUGGAAUUGAAAAGUUUUAUAUAAAAAGACAAUGGUUGGUAUUCACAUUUGGUUAUUAAUUGCUCAAAUCUAGAAUGAAUAAAGAGAAAUUGAACUUUGAAAAAGAAAAAUGAAUAAAAGAGGGUAUAAUGAAGGUUUAUCUAUUCCAAUAGUUGCUACUAUUAUUAUAGAGAAGAGUUUA
RNAcentral lists this long non-coding RNA (506 nucleotides) under Physcomitrium patens. RNAcentral describes it as "long non-coding RNA (PPAT_LNC005694)". The record is from RNAcentral. Lineage: Eukaryota; Viridiplantae; Streptophyta; Bryopsida; Funariales; Funariaceae.